ACCUGGGUGGCUUAGUUGGUUAAGCGUCUGACUUCGGCUCAGGUCAUGAUGUCACAGUUAGUGGGUUCGAGCCCCACAUCAGGCU
Molecule: transfer RNA, 85 nt
Filed under: Felis catus (domestic cat)
Lineage: Eukaryota; Metazoa; Chordata; Mammalia; Carnivora; Felidae
Rfam family: tRNA
About the family: Transfer RNA (tRNA) molecules are approximately 80 nucleotides in length. Their secondary structure includes four short double-helical elements and three loops (D, anti-codon, and T loops).
Source: Rfam by way of RNAcentral